This 828-nucleotide ribosomal RNA is filed under the name uncultured Actinomycetes bacterium. Its description in RNAcentral is "bacterial SSU rRNA". It matches the Rfam family "Bacterial small subunit ribosomal RNA", at positions 69 to 873 of the family's 1533-position model. Lineage: Bacteria; Bacillati; Actinomycetota; Actinomycetes. The record is from RNAcentral.
GAAAGUCCCCUUCGGGGGACAAGUAGAGUGGCGCACGGGUGUAGUAACACGUAGGUAAUCUACCUUUGGAUGGGGAAUAACAACCGGAAACGGUUGCUAAUACCGCAUAAUGCAGCGGCACCUAAUGGUGACAGUUGUUAAAGCGGGGGAUCGUAAGACCUCGCGUCUAAAGAGGAGCCUGCGGCAGAUUAGCUAGUUGGUAAGGUAAUGGCUUACCAAGGCGAUGAUCUGUAGCCGGCCUGAGAGGGCGGUCGGCCACACUGACACUGACAUACGGGUCAGACUCCUACGGGAGGCAGCAGUCGGGAAUUUUGGGCAAUGGGCGAAAGCCUGACCCAGCAACGCCGCGUGAAGGAUGAAAUCCCUCGGGAUGUAAACUUCGCAAGAACGGGAAGAAUAAGUAAGAGCUAACAUCUCUUAUGAUGACGGUACUGUUUGUAAGCUCCGGCUAACUCCGUGCCAGCAGCCGCGGUAAUACGGGGGGAGCAAGCGUUGUUCGGAUUUACUGGGCGUAAAGGGCGCGUAGGCGGCCACCGCAAGUCAGUUGUGAAAUCUCUGGGCUUAACCCAGAAAGGUCAACUGAUACUGCGGGGCUAGAGUGCAGAAGGGGCAACUGGAAUUCUCGGUGUAGCGGUGAAAUGCGUAGAUAUCGAGAGGAACACCUGCGGCGAAGGCGGGUUGCUGGGCUGACACUGACGCUGAGGCGCGAAAGCUAGGGGAGCGAACGGGAUUAGAUACCCCGGUAGUCCUAGCCUUAAACGAUGAAUGCUUGGUGUCUGGGGUUUUAUAGUCCCCGGGUGCCGUCGCUAACGCUUUAAGCAUUCCGCC